This 393-nucleotide ribosomal RNA is filed under the name uncultured bacterium. Its description in RNAcentral is "partial 16S ribosomal RNA". It matches the Rfam family "Bacterial small subunit ribosomal RNA", at positions 523 to 918 of the family's 1533-position model. The record is from RNAcentral.
AUACGGAGGAUCCGAGCGUUAUCCGGAUUUAUUGGGUUUAAAGGGAGCGUAGGUGGUUUGUUAAGUCAGUUGUGAAAGUUUGCGGCUCAACCGUAAAAUUGCAGUUGAAACUGGCAGUCUUGAGUACAGUAGAGGUGGGCGGAAUUCGUGGUGUAGCGGUGAAAUGCUUAGAUAUCACGAAGAACUCCGAUUGCGAAGGCAGCUCACUAGACUGUUACUGACACUGAUGCUCGAAAGUGUGGGUAUCAAACAGGAUUAGAUACCCUGGUAGUCCACACAGUAAACGAUGAAUACUCGCUGUUUGCGAUAUACAGUAAGCGGCCAAGCGAAAGCAUUAAGUAUUCCACCUGGGGAGUACGCCGGCAACGGUGAAACUCAAAGGAAUUGACGGGG